This is a long non-coding RNA of Balaenoptera acutorostrata (minke whale), 1415 nucleotides long. RefSeq lists it as uncharacterized. The transcript has 4 exons. The record is from RefSeq and is a predicted model, not a curated record. Lineage: Eukaryota; Metazoa; Chordata; Mammalia; Artiodactyla; Balaenopteridae.
UCGAAGUGUUCCGGUGACGGUUGGGAUCCCUGCGCGAGGAGAGUGAAAGGGUCUCGGGGCGCUCCUCACCCUCCAGGUCCUGCAUCCGAAACGCGCGGCACGAGGAGUGGGAUUGGAGAGGAAGCGCGCGGCCGGAGUCCCAGAGCUAGAGUCGAGCAGGCGCCGGGUCUCCAGACUCCGGCUCCCGGCCCCGGCAUCGAUCCCUCCGCCCGCCCGUCCGCCCGUCCCCCGGAGUCGGAGUAGGGAGGGCAGUCCGAGCCCCUCAGCCCAGUAGGUGUCAGUCAUUUGCCUCCGGGAUGACAAGCUCCGGACGCAGCCACCAUGCAGGGUCGCCUCCCCGAGGCUGAAUGUGUGUCGCCCUCAGAUUGUUCGCACUUUGAGUAUGCAGGCACGUAAGAGAUCAGCUCUUCCGCAACCAGAUGACCUCGGGUCAUCACCUUCGGGUCUGCAAUUUUCCAACCUGCCCAAGAGUGCCCAAGCUCGUCAUUGAACCCCCUCGCCAGCACCCCUCCCCACUCCCUGGAGCCGCUAGCCUCUCGGAGCGGAGGAAGAGCCCGCGGAGCAAAACUCUGGGUGGACCCUUCUCGGGGAGAAGAUCGGAGGUCGUGGAGCCAACUCUGCUGCCGCCGGAAAGGAAACGUGUUAACCAUCUCCUCUGUUACCCGUCGAAAAAUCUUAGAUAACACUUUGAGUAAAAGAGAGGCAUUUUGUUUGCUCGCAAGGGCGCAAGAUUUUCAGGACGGUGAGCCUGAAAUAGAGUUAACCCAAUUUGCUUCUCAAAUUAUUACACGGGGGUCACAAUUUCGAUUGUAUCUCGUUUGGGGCCGUUUGGACUAAACACAGUUUUUAAAAGAUAGGACCUUCCUUUUCUCGAGGCUUAUAUUAGAAAGCAGAGCCUUUGGGAAGUUCCUGGACACAGCUCUCAUUUGCAGCUGCCUCUGCGAUGACGCUAGAAGGGGCCGGUCUGGAAGGUUGUAAAUCUUUUCUCUUUAGUACUGGAAGCUUUUGGAGAGUGAGCGUAGAGUGUUCCUUCAGUCACAUGGCUAGGCCGAGGCUUGUAUGCUAGUGUGUUUUUGUUUGUUUUUUCUCCUUGUACUCCAUGUCCCCGUCCACAAUAAAACUUAAGGAGCGAUGGUGGAGUGGCGAGCUUAGCAGCUCGCACCAGCAGAGGACCCUCCUCGGGUCCCAGCCACGCGCACUGCCCUACCUGAGCCCAGCUAUGCAGCUACCCCAGCCAAGGAAAGCGAAACUCGAUUAUUCCUUUGGGGCCCUUACCCCGACCCCCCACCCCGAGAUCUUUGUCAUCUCAGGGAGAUGCUGCCAUCUUCAAAUUGUACCCUCUCAAGAAAGUCUUUUUUCAAAACUUUUCUGACUGCAACUCAGUGUCGAAAUACAUUUUAAGUCACAACUCAAUA